GACGGACGCUGGCGGCGUGCUUAACACAUGCAAGUCGAACGGAAAGGCCCUGCUUUUGUGGGGUGCUCGAGUGGCGAACGGGUGAGUAACACGUGAGUAACCUGCCCUUGACUUUGGGAUAACUUCAGGAAACUGGGGCUAAUACCGGAUAGGAGCUCCUGCUGCAUGGUGGGGGUUGGAAAGUUUCGGCGGUUGGGGAUGGACUCGCGGCUUAUCAGCUUGUUGGUGGGGUAGUGGCUUACCAAGGCUUUGACGGGUAGCCGGCCUGAGAGGGUGACCGGCCACAUUGGGACUGAGAUACGGCCCAGACUCCUACGGGAGGCAGCAGUGGGGAAUAUUGCACAAUGGGCGGAAGCCUGAUGCAGCAACGCCGCGUGCGGGAUGACGGCCUUCGGGUUGUAAACCGCUUUCGCCUGUGACGAAGUGUGAGUGACGGUAAUGGGUAAAGAAGCACCGGCUAACUACGUG
RNAcentral lists this ribosomal RNA (468 nucleotides) under uncultured bacterium. RNAcentral describes it as "partial 16S ribosomal RNA". It matches the Rfam family "Bacterial small subunit ribosomal RNA", at positions 28 to 507 of the family's 1533-position model. The record is from RNAcentral.